GUUCAGGCAAGGGAAGUCAUGUGUCAGGGUAGCCAGUGCCUUCUAUUUGCUCACAUAAGCAGUGGGAUCUUAGUCGCUCUUUUCCCCAUUUGCUGUCCAGCAUUAACUGUACUCAUCUUGCAGGUCAUUGCUUAGCCAGUUGGAGACCCGCAACUUGAUCAUAUCUACAGGGAACAGAAAUUGAGUGACAGAUGUUCUGGCAAAGUUGGAACUAUGAUGCAUAGUAGUAGUAGUAUUAGUAUUAUCAACAUUUUGGAAGUUCCUCUCUUUGUAUGUUUUGGUUAUUUUGGAGGCAAACAAACGAGGAUAUAUAUGCUAGGAGACUACCAUGGAACUGUAAUAUAAUGGGCGUGCUUUUACAAGCAUCACCUUUGUACCAAAAUUUUGUUAUUGUUAAAUAAUAAUAUUAAUAUCCUUAUAG
This is a long non-coding RNA of Nicotiana attenuata, 421 nucleotides long. RefSeq lists it as uncharacterized. The record is from RefSeq and is a predicted model, not a curated record. The transcript has 2 exons. Lineage: Eukaryota; Viridiplantae; Streptophyta; Magnoliopsida; Solanales; Solanaceae.